CCCCCCGCUUGCUCUCUUCUCCCCUCCCUGGUCCUCUCCGCCUCACCCCUCCCCCUCGCCAGAUCCAUCCCCGCCGAGCGCCGCCAUGGGCUCGCUCCGGUGAAGCUCGCGACCACCGGCCACUUCUCCCUCACCGUUGCGUCCACGACGACCGCCAUCGCCCGCUGCGUCCACUACGGAGACGAAGACCUGCCGGAACCCCCACCUUCGCCGGAUUCGCGUCGCCCUCGUCCGCUUCGGUCAUCGACCAUCUCCGUCAACUCCAACCGCCCCGCAGCUACUAAUCCGUCACCGGGCCCCCAUGCGCCCACACGACUACGAGACCGACGCUGCUGCUGACCAGUUCGGCUACGGAGUUGACGACCCCUCUCUCUUGCCAGAGCAACCAGAUGCUGGAGCCCUGGAGCCAGACGCCACCGUCGACGACGACUACUACACUGGAGGUGCCUACUACUACGUGCAGCCCGUUGACGACGACCAGGAGUAGUUAGGAGGAUCCCAGGCAGGAGGCCUGCGCCUCUUUCGAUCUGUAUCCCAGUUUGUGCUAGCCUUCUUAAGGCAAACUUGUUUAACUUAUGUCUGUACUCAGAUAUUGUUGCUUCCGCUGACUCGUCUAUGAUCGAGCACUUGUAUUCGAGCCCU
This 642-nucleotide ribosomal RNA is filed under the name Triticum aestivum (bread wheat). Its description in RNAcentral is "partial small subunit ribosomal RNA". Lineage: Eukaryota; Viridiplantae; Streptophyta; Magnoliopsida; Poales; Poaceae. The record is from RNAcentral.